RNAcentral lists this long non-coding RNA (244 nucleotides) under Solanum tuberosum (potato). Its description in RNAcentral is "long non-coding RNA (STUB_LNC008490)". Lineage: Eukaryota; Viridiplantae; Streptophyta; Magnoliopsida; Solanales; Solanaceae. The record is from RNAcentral.
UUUGAAGUAAACACAGAUCCCCCAAGAUGCUAGUUCUUAAAAGGCAAGAAAGAAGAAAAUUGGUGUGCCCCAUUCUGCAGUUUCUAGUGCUGCCUCCCAAAUGAGGUGAAGAUACGAACAUUUAAUCGGUCAACGAAUCUGGGAGGAAUGUUCAAGAAUCCUUGAACUCCAUAGAGAGAUUAAGCACAGUGUUGUCAAAUAGUUGGGAGUCACAAUGUGUUCAUCUGUAAAAUGUACACUUUUG